This 301-nucleotide ribosomal RNA is filed under the name uncultured bacterium. Its description in RNAcentral is "partial 16S ribosomal RNA". It matches the Rfam family "Bacterial small subunit ribosomal RNA", at positions 509 to 808 of the family's 1533-position model. The record is from RNAcentral.
CAGUCGCCGCGGGAAAACGAAGGGGGCUAGCGUUGUUCGGAUUUACUGGGCGUAAAGGGCGCGUAGGCGGGCGAAUAAGUCAGGGGUGAAAUCCCAAGGCUCAACCUUGGAACUGCCUUUGAUACUGUUUGUCUUGAGUUCGAGAGAGGUAAGUGGAACUGCGAGUGUAGAGGUGAAAUUCGUAGAUAUUCGCAAGAACACCAGUGGCGAAGGCGGCUUACUGGCUCGAAACUGACGCUGAGGCGCGAAAGCGUGGGGAGCAAACAGGAUUAGAUACCCCAGUAGUCCCUGUCUCUUUACA